This 497-nucleotide long non-coding RNA is filed under the name Vitis vinifera (wine grape). RNAcentral's name for it is "long non-coding RNA (VVIN_LNC001369)". The record is from RNAcentral. Lineage: Eukaryota; Viridiplantae; Streptophyta; Magnoliopsida; Vitales; Vitaceae.
GAAAAGGGAAAAUUGCUCCACCAUGUUUUUGGUGUACAAAAGAAGUGUUCCUUAAAAACACAGCACCCUGCGGCCUGAUGUGCCCCAUCCUGGCUGUGAUGAAUCUUAGCAUAUGCAAAUUAACCUUCCAGACACCUCUUCUGAGAAAGUUUGCUAGAAAGGCUAGGUCAGUGAACCUAGCUAGAUAUUCCUCUUAACAAAGAAGGGCUAACCUUUUGGAGCCAGAGUAAUUAGGAAUCGAGCGAAACAUAAUCAUACGAGCAGACAGUCGAUAGGCUACACAAGGCAGGUUGAGUCACCUACAGUGAACUUUAUAUAGUUAGGGAUAUGUUCUCAAUCAUACUAUAUAAACUUUGUGAUCAUAUGUAAUGGUCCUUGUCAGAAAGGAUAUAAAAGGGAAAAUGAUACAGUAAUCUAUCAUCCUUACUUUUCAUAAUGCGUCUGUUAGCUCGCCAGUGUUCCUAACAAGGCUUAUGCUUUAAGCGAUGUCGUGAAGU